GGUUGAAUUGGGUAGUCCGCACGAGCGCACCUAUUGUCAGUCGCUAACGUUUAAGUCGAGCACUCUGGCGAGACUGCCGGCGACAAGCCGGAGGAAGGUGGGGACGACGUCAAGUCAUCAUGGCCCUUAUGUCCAGGGCAACACACAUGCUACAAUGGCCGAUACAGAGGGAAGCGAAGGCGCGAGUUGGAGCGGAUCCCAAAAAGUCGGUCCCAGUUCGGAUUGCAGUCUGCAACUCGACUGCAUGAAGUUGGAAUCGCUAGUAAUCGCAAAUCAGCUAAGUUGCGGUGAAUACGUUCCCGGGCCUU
This 308-nucleotide ribosomal RNA is filed under the name uncultured Dethiosulfovibrio sp. RNAcentral describes it as "bacterial SSU rRNA". It matches the Rfam family "Bacterial small subunit ribosomal RNA", at positions 1068 to 1382 of the family's 1533-position model. The record is from RNAcentral. Lineage: Bacteria; Thermotogati; Synergistota; Synergistia; Synergistales; Dethiosulfovibrionaceae.